AACGAACGCUGGCGGCAUGCCUAACACAUGCAAGUCGAACGAGACCUUCGGGUCUAGUGGCGCACGGGUGGGUAACGCGUGGGAACCUGCACUUAGGUUCGGAAUAACUCCCCGAAAGGGGUGCUAAUACCGGAUAAUGUCUUCGGACCAAAGAUUUAUCGCGUUUGGAUGGGCGCGCGUUGGAUUAGCUAGUUGGUAGGGUAAAAGCCUACCAAGGCGACGUUCCAUAGCUGGUCUGAGAGGAUGAUUAGCCAGAAUUGGACUGAGACACGGCCCAGACUCCUACGGGGGGGAGCAGUAGGGAAUAUUGGACAAUGGGCGAAAGCCUGAUCCAGCAAUGCCGCGUGAGUGAUGAAGGCCUUAGGAUUGUAAAUCUCUUUUACCCGGGAUGAUAAUGACGGUACCGGGUAAAUAAGCUCCGGCUAACUCCGUG
RNAcentral lists this ribosomal RNA (433 nucleotides) under uncultured bacterium. Its description in RNAcentral is "partial 16S ribosomal RNA". It matches the Rfam family "Bacterial small subunit ribosomal RNA", at positions 29 to 507 of the family's 1533-position model. The record is from RNAcentral.